GAUGUAGAACGUAGCGAAAUGCGAUAAGUAAUGUGAAUUGCAGAAUUCAGUGAAUCAUCGAAUCUUUGAACGCACCUUGCGCCCUUUGGCCAUUCCGAAGGGCAUGCCUGUUUGAGUAUCAUGAACACCUCAACUCUUCAUGGUUUUCCAUGAUGAGCUUGGACUUUGGGGGUCUUGCUGGCCUGUGGGUCGGCUCCUCUCAAAUGAAUCAGCUUGCCGGUUUUUGGUGGGCAUCACAGGUGUGAUAACUAUCUACGCUUGUGGUUUUCCACCAGGGUAACCUUCAGCAGUGGAGGUUCACUGGAGCUUACAAAUGUCUCUCCUCUGUGAGGACAGCCCUUUGAAUGUUUGAUCUCAAAUCAGGUAGGACUACCCGCUGAACUUAAGCAUAUCAAUAAGCGGAGGA
This 406-nucleotide unclassified non-coding RNA is filed under the name soil metagenome. RNAcentral's name for it is "partial contains 5.8S ribosomal RNA, internal transcribed spacer 2, and large subunit ribosomal RNA". The stretch from base 1 to 121 matches the Rfam family "5.8S ribosomal RNA", at positions 35 to 154 of the family's 154-position model. The record is from RNAcentral.